UAGGGAAUCUUCGGCAAUGGACGGAAGUCUGACCGAGCAACGCCGCGUGAGUGAAGAAGGUUUUCGGAUCGUAAAGCUCUGUUGUAAGAGAAGAACGAGUGUGAGAGUGGAAAGUUCACACUGUGACGGUAACUUACCAGAAAGGGACGGCUAACUACGUGCCAGCAGCCGCGGUAAUACGUAGGUCCCGAGCGUUAUCCGGAUUUAUUGGGCGUAAAGCGAGCGCAGGCGGUUAGAUAAGUCUGAAGUUAAAGGCUGUGGCUUAACCAUAGUACGCUUUGGAAACUGUUUAACUUGAGUGCAGAAGGGGAGAGUGGAAUUCCAUGUGUAGCGGUGAAAUGCGUAGAUAUAUGGAGGAACACCGGUGGCGAAAGCGGCUCUCCGGUCUGUAACUGACGCUGAGGCUCGAAAGCGUGGGGAGCAAACAGGAUUAGAUACCCUGGUAGUCCACGCCGUAAACGAUGAGUGCUAGGUGUUGGGUCCUUUCCGGGACUCAGUGCCGCAGCUAACGCAUUAAGCACUCCGCCUGGGGAGUACGACCGCAAGGUUG
This 550-nucleotide ribosomal RNA is filed under the name uncultured bacterium. RNAcentral's name for it is "bacterial SSU rRNA". It matches the Rfam family "Bacterial small subunit ribosomal RNA", at positions 355 to 896 of the family's 1533-position model. The record is from RNAcentral.